Molecule: small RNA, 69 nt
Filed under: Samsonia erythrinae
Lineage: Bacteria; Pseudomonadati; Pseudomonadota; Gammaproteobacteria; Enterobacterales; Pectobacteriaceae
Description: SraD RNA
Rfam family: MicA sRNA
Source: RNAcentral
UGAAAGACGCGCAUUUAUUAUCAUCCCUAUUAGAGAUGUUUGUUUGGCCACAGUUUCUGUGGCCUUUUC